RNAcentral lists this ribosomal RNA (467 nucleotides) under uncultured bacterium. RNAcentral's name for it is "partial 16S ribosomal RNA". It matches the Rfam family "Bacterial small subunit ribosomal RNA", at positions 28 to 506 of the family's 1533-position model. The record is from RNAcentral.
GACGAACGCUGGCGGCGUGCUUAACACAUGCAAGUCGAACGGAAAGGCCCUGCUUUUGUGGGGUGCUCGAGUGGCGAACGGGUGAGUAACACGUGAGUAACCUGCCCUUGACUUUGGGAUAACUUCAGGAAACUGGGGCUAAUACCGGAUAGGAGCUCCUGCUGCAUGGUGGGGGUUGGAAAGUUUCGGCGGUUGGGGAUGGACUCGCGGCUUAUCAGCUUGUUGGUGGGGUAGUGGCUUACCAAGGCUUUGACGGGUAGCCGGCCUGAGAGGGUGACCGGCCACAUUGGGACUGAGAUACGGCCCAGACUCCUACGGGAGGCAGCAGUGGGGAAUAUUGCACAAUGGGCGGAAGCCUGAUGCAGCAACGCCGCGUGCGGGAGGACGGCCUUCGGGUUGUAAACCGCUUUCGCCUGUGACGAAGCGUGAGUGACGGGAAUGGGGAAAGAAGCACCGGCGAACUACGU